Molecule: ribosomal RNA, 604 nt
Filed under: uncultured Massilia sp.
Lineage: Bacteria; Pseudomonadati; Pseudomonadota; Betaproteobacteria; Burkholderiales; Oxalobacteraceae
Description: bacterial SSU rRNA
Rfam family: Bacterial small subunit ribosomal RNA
Source: RNAcentral
UACAAGUCGAACGGCAGCGCGGGGCAACCUGGCGGCGAGUGGCGAACGGGUGAGUAAUAUAUCGGAACGUACCCAAGAGUGGGGGAUAACGUAGCGAAAGUUACGCUAAUACCGCAUACGAUCCAUGGAUGAAAGUGGGGGAUUCGCAAGAACCUCAUGCUCCUGGAGCGGCCGAUAUCUGAUUAGCUAGUUGGUGAGGUAAAGGCUCACCAAGGCUACGAUCAGUAGCUGGUCUGAGAGGACGACCAGCCACACUGGAACUGAGACACGGUCCAGACUCCUACGGGAGGCAGCAGUGGGGAAUUUUGGACAAUGGGCGAAAGCCUAAUCCAGCAAUGCCGCGUGAGUGAAGAAGGCCUUCGGGUUGUAAAGCUCUUUUGUCAGGGAAGAAACGGUGGGGGCUAAUAUCCCUCGCUAAUGACGGUACCUGAAGAAUAAGCACCGGCUAACUACGUGCCAGCAGCCGCGGUAAUACGUAGGGUGCGAGCGUUAAUCGGAAUUACUGGGCGUAAAGCGUGCGCAGGCGGUGAUGUAAGACCGAUGUGAAAUCCCCGGGCUCAACCUGGGAACUGCAUUGGUGACUGCAUUGCUCGAGUAUGGCAGA